GUAUGUGAGGGUGAUCUGGUUGUGACACCUGUCACCCCCAUUGAUCACCAGGAUUGAUUGAGUUGAUUUGACUAGCUACUCAGGUGUCCCCUUUCCUCUACACUCUAUGUGCGUCCCCCCCAAAGCUUCAUGCGUGAUCAAAGAUGACCACCACCCCUGAUAGAGGAGAUUUUCCUUGGUCAAGAGUAUUCAAGUUGCCACACUCCCCCGCUAGAACCUCCAAACAAGGUCUCAACGUUUGUCCAUCACUGUUGGCCUGAUACUUUACUAUUAGGGAUAUUGCUGUUUAAAAGUCACCUGCUACAGUACAGAUUCUACUUCUUGUCUGCCUUGGAGAAACUAUAAUGCU
Molecule: unclassified non-coding RNA, 349 nt
Organism: Cavia porcellus (domestic guinea pig)
Lineage: Eukaryota; Metazoa; Chordata; Mammalia; Rodentia; Caviidae
Gene: 7SK
Rfam family: 7SK RNA
About the family: 7SK was discovered as an abundant small nuclear RNA in the mid-70s but a possible function has only recently been suggested.
Source: Ensembl